This is a long non-coding RNA of Helianthus annuus (common sunflower), 1679 nucleotides long. RefSeq lists it as uncharacterized. The record is from RefSeq and is a predicted model, not a curated record. Lineage: Eukaryota; Viridiplantae; Streptophyta; Magnoliopsida; Asterales; Asteraceae. The transcript is spliced from 5 exons.
AUGUCUUUGCUAUGAAAGCAUAAAGGAACCUACUCUUAUCCAUUUCCUCAUUCACCACUUAAACACACACACCCAGUUCGUUCUCUCUCUCUCUCACCGGUGACCGGCCACGGUGGAGCCGCGACGGCCGUUCUCCGGCGCGUACCCCCUAAACUGAACCUCCCAAAUCCAUUUCCGGCAUCCAUUUUUCUGUUCGAGCAACGAGGAAGGUAGCUUGGUCUCCGACAAGCCGCAGCUCGAGAGUCCACUCCGGUGGAACAGGAAUCGCCACCGACGAUGCUAGGGCCAACCGACAGCGACGAGAACGGAGGUGAUGGUUUGGGUUUGGGUUUGGCAACGGUAGCAACGACAGCGGAUGGUGGCAGCCGGCGCCGGCGGCUCCGGGUCGGCCGACGGCGACGGUGAUGGUGGUGGCUAUUGUCAAGUUCUAAGUAGCACUGGAACGGGUACGGGAUCGGGGUACGGGGACGAUACGGGAACGAGGAACGGCAAAACUCAAAAUUCCAAGAUACGGAUUCUGGUUCAUCUAGUGAGAGAUCGGCAAUCGAUAGAGAAUUAGAGAUGAUGAGACUUGAGAGUUUAGAGAUUAGAGAAGCCGAAUAUGAUAGGUCUAUUUAUUUAAUGGCCGGUUGUGGAAUUUGAAAGGGUAAAACCCCUAAAAAAUGGAAACGGGCUGGAUACUUCUACCAGAUACGUCCCCGACAUUGGAAACGUUUAGGAAACGUCCCCGACGAGUACCCAUGGUGUUUCCGUCCCCGACAAGUACCCGAGACGGGUACGGCCACAUAAAUGGAGUCCCCGUGCUACAUAGGUCAAGUUGUUUUGGGUCAACUUGGUUCACUCAUUUCACGAACUGAUUUGGUUCCGGUUCGGGUCUUGGUUCGAGAUGCGGGUUCGAGUCAACUCAGCCAAACGGGUCAGCCGGGUUAAAUCGGUCAAACCCGAGUCAACUCGGGUCAACAGCAGUCAAUGACGGUCAAAGCCAGUCAACUCGGUUAACUGAGGUCAAACUCAGUCAACACGAGACGCGGAGUACUAUAGAUGCACGCUAGUGAAAUCACGUUCGUGGGAUGACACUACGGAAUCACGUUAAGAUAGCUUUGCAAAGGAAUGUCAAGGUUAACGGCUUGCAAACACGCACAUUUGGGUUUGGCAACGGUAGCAACGACAGCGGAUGGUGGCAGCCGGCGCCGGCGGCUCCGGGCCGGCCGACGGCGACGGUGAUGGUGGUGGCUAUUGUCAAGUUGUUUUGGGUCAACUUGGUUCACUCAUUUCACGAACUGAUUUGGUUCCGGUUCGGGUCUUGGUUCGAGAUGCGGGUUCGAGUCAACUCAGCCAAACGGGUCAGCCGGGUUAAAUCGGUCAAACCCGAGUCAACUCGGGUCAACAGCAGUCAAUGACGGUCAAAGCCAGUCAACUCGGUUAACUGAGGUCAAACUCAGUCAACACGAGACGCGGUAAAGUUUUAAGACGCGAAAGUUAGAUUAGAUUGAUACAGAUUUCAGAAUUUUAUUUAGUAUACGCGAACCGAGCUCGACCCGACUAACUAGCGUUUUUACAUUUAGCGAUUUUGCUUCGUAUUCGACGUUUCGAUAUAUUUAACGUAAAGUAUAUAUAAUGUUUGUUGAGUGAUUGUUGAAUUUUGACAAAUAACGACAACUUGAGUUGUCGGGGUUAUU